Canis lupus familiaris (dog) is the source of this 933-nucleotide long non-coding RNA. RefSeq lists it as uncharacterized. The transcript has 2 exons. NCBI's taxonomy places the organism in Eukaryota, Metazoa, Chordata, Mammalia, Carnivora, Canidae. The record is from RefSeq and is a predicted model, not a curated record.
AGGCAUUAAAAAAUGAAAACCUUGAAAUACAUUUGUUUAUAUCCAACUGGAUUUUAUAUGAGAUCACUCUCCAUCUCUGCCCAAAGUCCACUGCCUUGAGACAAUGCUCAACAUCAUUACUUAUUCAGAAACUGCAAAAUAAAAGCACACUGGGAUACCACCUGCAUGAAUUGCCAUGUGAAAAUUAAAGAGUUGGCAAGAUGUCGAGAAAUUGGAACUCUAAUAUACUGCUGAAGGGAAUAGAAAGUGGCACAACCACUUUGAAAAAUCAUUGGGCAGUUUCUUAAAUAAUUAAAUAUACAUCGUUAUGUAUUCUGACAAUUUUGCCAUUAGCUAUGUAGCCAAGGGUCAUGAAAGCAUAUGGCCAAACAAAGAUUCAUAAAAGAGUAUUCAUAGCAGCUUUCUUUAUAAUUGCCAAGAAGUAGAAACAAAUCUAAAUGUGUAUUAAUAUGUGAAUGGAUAAUGUGUAUUAAUAAUGUGUAUUAAUCUAAAUGUGUAUUAAUAGGUGAAGGUGGUAUAUACAAACAAUGGAACACUACUACUCUGCAAUUAAAGAGAAUUAACUAUUAGGACAUAAAACCAACAUAGAUUAAUCUGAAAAUAAUUAUGCUGAAUGAAAGACACCACAGGAAAAGAGUACAUAUAACAUGAUUCCAUUUUUCAUAAAAUUCUAAAAAAAUGAAAGUAAUCUAUAGUGACAUGAAGCCAUUUAGCAGUUUCUUGGGAUAAGAAUGAAGCAUGGAGGGAAGACAGUGAGGGAUUGUCCAAGGAGCAUGUGGAAACUUUGGGGGAUAAUGUGUAUAUUAGUUAUCUUUAUUGUGGUGAUGGUUUUAUGAGUAUAUAUGUAUGUCAAAACUUAAGAAAUUUUAUACUUUGAAUAUAUGCACCUUAGUGUAUGUUCAAUUAUAUCUUAAUAAAAGUGAAAGAAAUGUU